This 253-nucleotide ribosomal RNA is filed under the name uncultured prokaryote. Its description in RNAcentral is "partial 16S ribosomal RNA". It matches the Rfam family "Bacterial small subunit ribosomal RNA", at positions 525 to 777 of the family's 1533-position model. The record is from RNAcentral.
ACGAACCGUCCAAACGUUAUUCGGAAUUACUGGGCGUAAAGGGCUCGUAGGCGGCCAACUAAGUCAGACGUGAAAUCCCUCGGCUUAACCGGGGAACUGCGUCUGAUACUGGAUGGCUUGAGUGUGGGAGAGGGAUGCGGAAUUCCAGGUGUAGCGGUGAAAUGCGUAGAUAUCGGGAGGAACACCUGUGGCGAAAGCGGCGCACUGGACCACAACUGACGCUGAGGCGCGAAAGCUAGGGGAGCAAACAGGA